AUGAACGAGCUGGACACCUUGACUGCUGAGCAGGUACAUUGGUUGCCUUAUGUGGAAGAUCAUGGCUUUGAUCUUAAUGAGAUGUGCACUCGUGAUAGCCAUCUUUGGCGGGCGAGGUGCCCAAUGAUACGCUUCUUCGCAGUCGAGUGGCACUUUGUAGACCGUGUGGCAAGACAAUUUGGAAGAAGAAAAGGUAUUCCAAUUGAGGAGAGCAAUGAGGAAAUGCUAUCUCUGCAUCGGUUCGAUCGAAGGAACAAUCAGGAUAUAUCGGAUUGGGCAAACAAACAUUGUGUGUGGAUACAAAUUUGGGAUCAAAGAGACACGUCAGUGCAAUCAGAGAGUAGACCUCACAAUCAGUCAGCAUAUCAGAAGUAUCAAGUGUGGUAUGCGGAUCGUUACCGGUUAAAGCUAAAGCCUGGUUGGACUCACGAAGAGUGGUCGGAGUUGGUGUCUGAAGACCCGGAGACUGCAGUAGGUUAUCAUACCUUCAACACGGCUGUGAGAGACACCAAAGGGGCUCACGUUGACUAUGCACCAAUGCAUGACGAAAUGGGCAGAGAGUUGCUUCUGUGUGUCAAUGAUGCCAAUGUUUCACUGAGUCAUCCACCUAGUGGUGGAUUAUCUGAGAGGACUCUUAGGAGCACCAUGGAGAAGUUCAAGAAGAGGUUCCAUAAGAUGGCAGCAAUGCUUUCUUGCCAUGGUGCUCAGUCCGGUGACGUGUAUGCACCUGGUAGCCGUGCCGCCAGAGCUAAUAGACAGCGUUAUCUUCAAAACGAUGAGGACAUGGAGGACGAGGUCCAUGAAGAGGAGCCAUCACAUCAAGAGGAGACAACACAUGAAGAGGAGCCAACACAUCAUGAGGAGCAUGAGUAUGAUGCAACACAUCAAGAGGAUCAUGAGUAUGAUGUUGAUGCUCCACAACCAUCACAACCGACACAAGGCAAUGCUCGCACUAGGAAAGGCAAAGCCAUAGCUAAGACACCAAGCAAGAAAGGUAGUACAUGGAACACACAAUUCCAUAGUCCGGAGUUCCUCAUCAGCUUAUCCCAAGAGGAAUGCAAAAAUAUAAGGCCAACAAUGAGGCGGAGGAGGAGGCAUACAACGAAGAGGAGGAGGAGGCUAGCGAAGAGGACGAGCCUACACUUGCAACCAUUGUGA
RNAcentral lists this ribosomal RNA (1158 nucleotides) under Triticum aestivum (bread wheat). RNAcentral's name for it is "partial small subunit ribosomal RNA". The record is from RNAcentral. Lineage: Eukaryota; Viridiplantae; Streptophyta; Magnoliopsida; Poales; Poaceae.